RNAcentral lists this ribosomal RNA (301 nucleotides) under uncultured bacterium. RNAcentral describes it as "partial 16S ribosomal RNA". It matches the Rfam family "Bacterial small subunit ribosomal RNA", at positions 509 to 807 of the family's 1533-position model. The record is from RNAcentral.
CAGUAGCCGCGGUAAUACGAAGGGGGCUAGCGUUGCUCGGAAUGACUGGGCGUAAAGGGCGCGUAGGCGGCUUGUACAGUCAGAUGUGAAAUUCCUGGGCUUAACCUGGGGGCUGCAUUUGAUACGUGCGGGCUAGAGUGUGAAAGAGGGUCGUGGAAUUCCCAGUGUAGAGGUGAAAUUCGUAGAUAUGCGGAGGAACACCGAUGGCGAAGGCAAUCCCCUGGGCCUGUACUGACGCUCAUGCACGAAAGCGUGGGGAGCAAACAGGAUUAGAUACCCCGGUAGUCCCUGUCUCUUAUAC